This 273-nucleotide ribosomal RNA is filed under the name uncultured bacterium. RNAcentral's name for it is "partial 16S ribosomal RNA". It matches the Rfam family "Bacterial small subunit ribosomal RNA", at positions 524 to 796 of the family's 1533-position model. The record is from RNAcentral.
UACGGAGGGUGCAAGCGUUAAUCGGAAUUACUGGGCGUAAAGGGCACGCAGGUGGCUUGGCAAGUCGGAUGUGAAAGCCCCGGGCUUAACUUGGGAAUGGCAUUCGAUACUGCCGAGCUAGAGUAUGGGAGAGGAAAGCGGAAUUCCCGGUGUAGCGGUGAAAUGCGUAGAUAUCGGGAGGAACAUCAGUGGCGAAGGCGGCUUUCUGGCCCAAUACUGACACUCAUGUGCGAAAGCGUGGGGAGCAAACAGGAUUAGAAACCCCCGUAGUCC